ACUAAGGACCAGCUUGCAGCUUGCAGCACCUCCUGGGUCAACAGCAAUGGCGGCCGAGUUGUCUGAGCGGUUGUUUUCGCUGGAACUGCUCGUCGAUUGGGUACGCCUUGAACCCGGGCUGCUGCAGCAGCCCGUAGUCGCGCUGGAGGAGCAGGAGGAGAAAGAGGAGGCGGAGGCAGAAGAGGCAUCGCAGCCGCGGCGCUCGCGCGGUCUGUGUCUCGCCGUGGCCUUCCGCCUGCUGGACUUCCCCACGCUGCUGGUUUACCCUCCCGGCGGCCCCGCCUCCCCCUCUCCCGAACCUCGACCGGGCCUGGUCAGCUUCGGUCGCGGCAAAUCCUGUCUCUUCCGCCUGCACCCCGCCACCCUGCACCGCCUGCUUCUUCAGACGCCGCUUUACACCUUGCUGCUGCAGCUCCCCCCUGGGCGCCCGACUCCUGCCCCGCUGCUCCUGGGGGCCUGCAGCAUCUCUCUGGCCGCUGCAGCCCGCAGGGUCCUGGGGCCCGCCGCCUCCGGCUGCUCCCAGGGUCAUCAAGGAAGCUUCCCUCUGCAUAACCAAGAGGGGGAGCGGAUUGGGGACAUUGCCCUGGGCUACCGUCUGACUGAUCUGGGAAGCAGCUUGUUGGGUCAUCUGGAGCGGCCAGUCUCUUCCACGGGAGUCGGAGUGGCAGUAGAGGUCAGUUCCCAGACCUUGCAGGAGAAACAGCAGCCGAAGCAGCUGAACUCAGAGCCACACCCAGGAGAUGCUGAUAAGCCUCUGGUGGAUGUGAACAUCUCAACAGCACAGAAGGAUUUGAAGGACCACAGUAAGGCCAAGUCUGGUAACACAGGUUCUGUGGAGAAUGGCAAAACCAACUCUCUUAUUUGUUCAAAUGCUAGCAGUGAGAGGCGCGUUAGCCCCCCAGAUCAGGAAGAGACAGAGUUGGACAUGGAAACCAACAUAAUUUGCCCUCCUCCUCUGUAUUACACUCAUCUGACCCAAGAAAAGACACCUCCUAAACAGGGUAAAAUUACUAUUGAGGCUCAAAUGAACGCAUCUGAGGAAUUGGAUGGUACUUUUCCUGAAGAAAAACUUGUAAAUCCCCCAGCACAUACUAAUCCUUCAGAACAUACAAAUUCUACAACGCAGGAGAGGCCUCCAGGGCUUAUAAAUCUUCCACAUGUUCAGGAUACAGAAGCCAGUAACCAAACUACAUACCCUCCUCAGAGUGAACAAAAUAGAAUUAAUACUAUAAGGCAGCUGCCUUUGUUAAAUGCUUUGUUGGUUGAGUUGUCCCUGUUAUACAGCCAACCCAUGGCAAGCCCUACUCAUAUACACCCUCACUUAGCCUGGUUAUAUAGAACUGAGGAUAAGAGGUCACCAGAAUUUUCUGCCAAAUCCACAUGUAAAUCCGAAUCAAAGAAGGAUGAGCUUUUUCUGGGGGAAAAGGAAAAGACAGUGAGUCUUCAGUAUAGAAGGAGCCAAACUGAAAAUCUCAAGAAAGGUAAACAUUUUGAAAAGAAAGGUGGUGCCCUCCCAAAAAGAGUUCCAAAGGGAAAGCUACUUUAUGGCUUAACAAAUACACUUAAACUACGUUUAAAGCAAACAAACCCUGGUAUGUUGGCAGUACACGAAAAGAGAGAACAGUAUAGAAAAAUGCAAGCCCAGAUGUUAGAUGCAAAACUCAGAAUUCCAUCAUCCAAAGUUAAGGUAUUCAGUUUUGCAGAACAACAUCAACUGCCUAAAGAUAAGAAUGAAUCAGAUGCAUUUUUUGCUGAAAAUAGUGAUACCUCAAAGCAAAUUAGUGUAGUUUUGGAUCACCCCAGCACAACUCAAGAAACUCAGCUGAAAUGUGCAACUGAAAAGACAGUUGAUUGUGGUGAAAAUAGAACCAGUGAUGAUUUAUUGGAAGAAAUUGUGGGUUCUUCAAAUUCGGUUGUCUCAGAAAAGUUUGUUCAUGCAGACAUUCUGAAAGGGGAAGUGAAAGUCCACAGUUUGGGUGUUUUCCAAGAGGUUGCACUUGUUGACAGAACUAUAGUAGGUGAAGAGCUAGGUGAUAAGCAGGUCAGAACCAUUGAUAAUGACAUUCCUACUGCUGAUGCAUAUAUGAGUGAAAAGAAUCCAAGUAAAAGUAGUUGCUGUGAAAGCAUCUCAGAGAUGAAGUAUUCAGAUGACUUCACCAGCCCUUGCUGUUCUGAAGACAGCAACAGAAUUUUACAAGUUCGUGAUAACAGUCCAGGGACAGAAAAUCCAAAGCAUAGUCAACAUACAAGUAAGUCGAGUGAAACAAGAUUGUCCAUGAGGAAAAAUAGCAGUGAACAGAGUUCUAUUCUUAGCCCACCUUUUUCAGCUGGAUCACCAUUACUCUCAAAUAAAAGAUUUCACUUUGCAAAGACUGAAGAUAAAAGUUUGGAGGAAGCAUCUCAUAUCUCUACUAGUGAUUUCUCUUCAUCACUUCAGACUGAGGAAAAAGAAAACCAGACAGUUAUGCACGAAGUUAUAAAAAGGGAUCAAGGCAGCUCUACUGAACUUAAAACAAGAACUGGUUGCAAGUCCUCAGAAAAAAGCCAGUCACCUCGGACAUCUCAAAAUGUAAAUGUUUGUCAUUCCUUUGGUGGGUAAAUAGGAUUCUACCACUGAAUCUGACAAAGAUCAUGCGGUCACCUUAUAACCUAGGUGUCCUCAGAUUUCUUUUCCAAGAUCCAGGACCCUCAGCUGAUGCCAGCUCCAGCCUAAGUGAGCAAUGGAGAAGCUGUCACUGCCCAUUAUAUUUUGGAUGGUGCCUGGGGACUCCCCUAGUUUUGAGGAAAGUUGGCAACAGAAAAAGGAACAUCUGAGGAAGGAGCCGUCAGCAAGGUCCGGGGGUGAGUGACGUUUUACUUGUCCACACACCCCUCUCACCAGAGGGGACUUCAUGUGACCUUCAAAAUAUACAUAUAUCAGAAUUUGGAGACUACAUCAGAGUGAGGGUAAAAUAAGGAUGAAAAGAAUUCAUGAAGGGAGUUUCCUGGUGGCUCAGUGGGUUAAGGAUCUGGUGUUGUCCCUGCUGUGGCUCAUGUUCCUGCUGUGGCUCAUGUCACUGCUGUAGUGUGGGUUCAGUCUCUGGCCUGGGAUUUAUGUAGGUCACUGGGGUGACCAAAAAAAAAAAAAAAAAGAAUUCAUGAAGCACUAACUGGGCACACAAUUUCCUUUUAGUCAAGUCAAUCAGGAAACCAGUGAUAUGAACCCCAUUGUUAAUGAGAGAAUUCAGACAUGGUCUGAUAUUUUGAGCUGGCCCUCACCCACUGCCUGAUGCAGAUCCUGGGGUGAGCGGGGAUAUCGGGCUGGAAGUCAGGACCCCCUGAGGUCUGGUGUGACACAGAUGGGCCCCCUUAGCCCAACUGCCUAAGGGGGACCAAACAGACUGAGCCCGUCUUGAAUGUGCUGCCUAGUCCAAGGGACGUGGAAACAUCAUCGGUAAGACUGCUCCUUACCUGUGGGCCCUGAGGGGUUUUUGAAAAAGUACCAAGGGUUCUUUCGAGGUAACCAAAACCUGAGUUGCUCUCCUUAGAAAGGAGACCUUUACCUGAAGGCUGCCCUCAGGUAAGGGCCAUGGGAUCAGUAGAGAGACACGGGAGAUUGGCCAGCAGGCCCAUGCCUGGCUGGGGUUGGGGUCAAGCUCCUUGUCCGGGGCCCACUGAUGGGAGGGAUGUGCACCACCAAUCCCAGGAAGGUCCUGGACCAUAUUUGGGAGGGAGGCUGAAGUCACAGGACCACAUCGGGACAGAAGACCAUCAGUGAGCUUGCUGCAGGAGGCUCCUGCACCCCUGCAUGGCUCCAGACCCCUGGUUCUGAAGAAGGGAAAGAGCACACUGGUCCUGCACAGGCACUGGAACUGGACAGACUGGACCCUGCAUCAGCAGCAGUGGGCUGCAUGGCAGCCCAGAGCAGGAACCAUCUCUUGGGCUCCUUCAGUGAAAAUGACUUAUGUAUUUGCUACUCUUUAGCUGCAGCUAACAGAAAACUCAGUUAACCCGGACUUAAACAGAACAGGUGCUGUUCCUAUCACACAGCUAGGGUCCCAGGCUGUGCAGUCCAGCAGGGUCUCAGCAGUGUCACCAAGGACUCGGGCACUUUCUUUUCCACCGUCUUUGAUUUGUACCUCUCAUCCUCAUGCGUCCUGUCCAGGGUUUGUGUCUGCCAUCCUGCUGGGAAGACGGCAGAGCAGACAAAGCCUUCUGCUGUGAAGCUUUGUUACUUUCUCCAAAGGAGAAGAAAUUUCAUCUGACCUCUCAUUAGGCCGAAGGGCAUCACGUGGUCAUCCCUAGCAGCAAGGAUGGCAGCCCUCCGUUAAAUUAGAGAAGGACGGGGGAAGGGUCCUAGUCGGCAUGGUGGUGGUCAUUGCACAUCGCUUGUCCCAAGCCAGCAACAUAGCUCUAUCUUGAAAGCAUUCUGCCCACUGCCUGGAACACGGAAAGCGUGCUGCUACUCAUGCCACCGAUCAGAGCCCCCCCCCCUCCAAACACCAAGUGGCUGCCUGGACCCAAGGAAUUUGUCAGAUGUCCCAGAUUUUCCAGAUUGGUCACAGUGUAAACUGUUUAUUGACUGAACAUGUAAUAAAGAUAUGAAUCCUGGUUUGGGCUUCAGAAAAUAUGAUGACCACACUAUGAAGCAGUUCUGCUGACAGGGUUGAAGACAAUUAAUUGGUAUGGUUUUCAAUGAAUCGACAUAUAAGCUCAGGGAAUGGAAGAAGUAUAUCCUUGAGGCAUUUCUAUAUAGAAAUAUAACAAUCCAGUCACUGGGCUUUGAAAAACCAGAAGCUUUAAAUCUCUUAGGAAAAUCUAGGCCUUAAGGAAAGAGUCAGGUGUUUUUCUU
RNA transcript from Phacochoerus africanus (Common warthog), 4831 nucleotides. It is a transcript of the gene named microtubule associated protein 10, with no coding region annotated. NCBI's taxonomy places the organism in Eukaryota, Metazoa, Chordata, Mammalia, Artiodactyla, Suidae. The transcript is spliced from 3 exons. The record is from RefSeq and is a predicted model, not a curated record.